AUUGAACGCUGGCGGAAUGCUUUACACAUGCAAGUCGAACGGCAGCACGGGGGCAACCCUGGUGGCGAGUGGCGAACGGGUGAGUAAUACAUCGGAACGUGCCCGGUCGUGGGGGAUAACGUAGCGAAAGUUACGCUAAUACCGCAUACGAUCUGAGGAUGAAAACGGGGGACCUUCGGGCCUCGCGCGAUCGGAGCGGCCGAUGUCAGAUUAGGUAGUUGGUGGGGUAAAGGCCUACCAAGCCGACGAUCUGUAGCUGGUCUGAGAGGACGACCAGCCACACUGGGACUGAGACACGGCCCAGACUCCUACGGGAGGCAGCAGUGGGGAAUUUUGGACAAUGGGCGCAAGCCUGAUCCAGCCAUUCCGCGUGCAGGACGAAGGCCUUCGGGUUGUAAACUGCUUUUGUAUGGAACGAAAAGGCUCUGGCUAAUACCUGGGGCUCAUGACGGUACCGUAAGAAUAAGCACCGGCUAACUACGUG
RNAcentral lists this ribosomal RNA (484 nucleotides) under uncultured bacterium. RNAcentral describes it as "partial 16S ribosomal RNA". It matches the Rfam family "Bacterial small subunit ribosomal RNA", at positions 30 to 507 of the family's 1533-position model. The record is from RNAcentral.